AGGAGGAUAGUUCAAUGGUAGAAUUGUGGUCUCCAAAGCCAAAGGUUGUGGGUUCGAAUCCCUCUCUUCCUG
RNAcentral lists this transfer RNA (72 nucleotides) under Trachydiscus minutus. Its description in RNAcentral is "tRNA-Trp". It matches the Rfam family "tRNA". From Rfam's summary of the family: Transfer RNA (tRNA) molecules are approximately 80 nucleotides in length. Their secondary structure includes four short double-helical elements and three loops (D, anti-codon, and T loops). The record is from RNAcentral. Lineage: Eukaryota; Eustigmatophyceae; Goniochloridales; Goniochloridaceae.